CGAUCAAAUGUUUACAUGUGCCA
RNAcentral lists this non-coding RNA (23 nucleotides) under Arabidopsis thaliana (thale cress). Lineage: Eukaryota; Viridiplantae; Streptophyta; Magnoliopsida; Brassicales; Brassicaceae. The record is from RNAcentral.